RNAcentral lists this transfer RNA (74 nucleotides) under Candidatus Alistipes merdipullorum. RNAcentral describes it as "tRNA-Ala". It matches the Rfam family "tRNA". From Rfam's summary of the family: Transfer RNA (tRNA) molecules are approximately 80 nucleotides in length. Their secondary structure includes four short double-helical elements and three loops (D, anti-codon, and T loops). The record is from RNAcentral. Lineage: Bacteria; Pseudomonadati; Bacteroidota; Bacteroidia; Bacteroidales; Rikenellaceae.
GGGGGAUUAGCUCAGAUGGCUAGAGCGUUUGCAUGGCAUGCAAGAGGUCAUCGGUUCGAGCCCGAUAUUCUCCA